GUCAACUUUCUAUAGCACGUAUCCUAAAGUUGAAUGAUACAAAGAUGAGGCUGGCCCCUGCUUAAGGAUGGUACACAAAUUCAUGAACUAUUCUAUAGUUUU
Molecule: small nuclear RNA, 102 nt
Filed under: Chinchilla lanigera (long-tailed chinchilla)
Lineage: Eukaryota; Metazoa; Chordata; Mammalia; Rodentia; Chinchillidae
Source: RNAcentral